RNAcentral lists this transfer RNA (67 nucleotides) under Orestes mouhotii. RNAcentral's name for it is "tRNA-Cys". Lineage: Eukaryota; Metazoa; Arthropoda; Insecta; Phasmatodea; Heteropterygidae. The record is from RNAcentral.
AGUCUUAUAUUCAAUAAUGAUUUUGAAUUGCAAAUUUAAAGGUGUAGAUAUUAUUCUAUUAAGGCUU